RNAcentral lists this ribosomal RNA (478 nucleotides) under uncultured bacterium. RNAcentral describes it as "partial 16S ribosomal RNA". It matches the Rfam family "Bacterial small subunit ribosomal RNA", at positions 28 to 507 of the family's 1533-position model. The record is from RNAcentral.
GAUGAACGCUGGCGGCGUGCCUAACACAUGCAAGUCGAACGGAGUCCAGCCUUUAAGACCUUCGGGUCAAAGAGGGGAAGACUGAGUGGCGGACGGGUGAGUAACACGUGGGCAACCUGGCUCAUAGAGGGGGAUAACAGAGAGAAAUUUCUGCUAAUUCCGCAUAAGCACACACUGCCGCAUGGCAGAGGGUGAAAAGAGAAUCGCUAUGAGAUGGACCCGCGUCUGAUUAGCCAGUUGGCAGGGUAAGAGCCUACCAAAGCGACGAUCAGUAGCCGAUCUGAGAGGAUGAACGGCCACAUUGGGACUGAGACACGGCCCAAACUCCUACGGGAGGCAGCAGUGGGGGAUAUUGCACAAUGGGGGGAACCCUGAUGCAGCGACGCCGCGUGAGUGAAGAAGUAUUUCGGUAUGUAAAGCUCUAUCAGCAGGGAAGAUAAUGACAGUACCUGAAGAAGAAGCCCCGGCUAACUACGUG